GUGGCUAGCCACACAGGAGCACUUGGUGUUUCUUUUGUUUGCAGUGUUCCCGUUUUCCAUCUUCAUCACAUAUCCUAAGUCCAGUGGUCACAAAAGAUCAAAUAAAAGAAUCGGACGGUAACUUAAGAGAAGAUGAUUUAAUGAAGUUAAAAAGAAGAGUCUCUCAGUGAUGAGAUUUGUUAAAAUACCAAAAGGGUAGUGUGGUCUGGGUUAUGUUGGAGACCUUUCAUCCUUUUCACUUGACUUUGAUGCUCAUAUAAUUGCAGUCAGAUGGAGUAGGUAUUUCUCAGUUCCUUCUAGCCAACAGUUGAUAGAUGAUUGCUGAAUGGUGGUGUGUGGGUUGCCUGCAUCAAAAUCACUUGCAGUCUAAGAAAAAAUUCCUAGGCCUACCCCACUCGAUUCUAAAGCAGCAGGGCUUGGGUAAAACCCA
This 430-nucleotide long non-coding RNA is filed under the name Marmota monax (woodchuck). The record is from RNAcentral. Lineage: Eukaryota; Metazoa; Chordata; Mammalia; Rodentia; Sciuridae.